UGGGGAAUAUUGCACAAUGGGCGCAAGCCUGAUGCAGCCAUGCCGCGUGUGUGAAGAAGGCCUUCGGGUUGUAAAGCACUUUCAGCGAGGAGGAAGGUGGUGGACUUAAUACGUUCAUCAAUUGACGUUACUCGCAGAAGAAGCACCGGCUAACUCCGUGCCAGCAGCCGCGGUAAUACGGAGGGUGCAAGCGUUAAUCGGAAUUACUGGGCGUAAAGCGCACGCAGGCGGUUUGUUAAGUCAGAUGUGAAAUCCCCGGGCUCAACCUGGGAACUGCAUUUGAAACUGGCAAGCUAGAGUCUCGUAGAGGGGGAUAGAAUUCCAGGUGUAGCGGUGAAAUGCGUAGAGAUCUGGAGGAAUACCGGUGGCGAAGGCGGCCCCCCUGGACGAAGACUGACGCUCAGGUGCGAAAGCGUGGGGAGCAAACAGGAUUAGAUACCCCUAGUAGUCCACGCUGUAAAACGAUGUCGAUUUUGGAGGUUGUGCCCUUGAGGCGUGGCUUCCGGAGCUAACGCGUUAAAUCGACCGCCUGGGGAGUACGGCCGCAAGGUU
RNAcentral lists this ribosomal RNA (552 nucleotides) under uncultured bacterium. RNAcentral describes it as "partial 16S ribosomal RNA". It matches the Rfam family "Bacterial small subunit ribosomal RNA", at positions 355 to 895 of the family's 1533-position model. The record is from RNAcentral.